This is a long non-coding RNA of Bombyx mandarina (wild silkworm), 1350 nucleotides long. NCBI's taxonomy places the organism in Eukaryota, Metazoa, Arthropoda, Insecta, Lepidoptera, Bombycidae. The record is from RefSeq and is a predicted model, not a curated record.
CGGCCCACCCAGUCCGCGAGAACCGGGCAGAUCGCCUCGACGGUACGGAGGCCGGCCGACGGGUCCGCCAAACGACGAGAUCACGCCUCCAGCACGGACUGCCGAUAUUGGAGCCCCCGCGCUCCGGCUGCACUUGCGCUAGGGCGCGCCGCCUCGUAGGAGACUGUGAGGUGCUGUGGCAGGUCCAACCAGAGACGUCAACGUGUGUUCCAGAGCUUCAGUGUGUUACAGAUAAGUGGUUUUGGCUUCCCCUUUAUGUUCCAUUCAGGGUCAGAAUGUAGUCUUAUAAAACAAAGUCAUAGUAAUUUAUUCAAUGGUAAGCGGUUUCAUGAACAAGUCACUCUUUGAUCUGAAAGUAACUUAGACCAAUCAUGAUGGCAAGAGCACUUAGGGGAUAUUCAACUCGCCCUUAAUAGUGCACGUUGUCGAGUAACAGGGUUUACUCCAAUAGAAUAGACGUUUGCCGUUCAGGGUAGUUCACUUGAAAUAUCUAAAGUUUCAACAGAGUGAUAAUCCCUCUAGAUUAGAUCUUGAUUUAGCACGGUCGAAGACCGGCGAAAACAUAAAAAAAGGGCACAAACAGAAGCUUGGUUUAGUCGAGGCAAAGCUAAAGUCAAACUCUUUUCCGCUGGGGAUUUUGUUUUCGUAAGUUGACCGAAAAUGUAAAGGUCCCUUCAACAUUACUGCAGUUUUGGAAAACGAUAGGUAUAAAUUGAGACAUGUAAAUAGUUCUAAUAGAGUGUACAAAUUUCCCCAUGAAAACUUACGUGAAAUACCUCGAGGCCCGUCAGGCCUACUAGAAAUUUCUGAAAAUUAUAGUGACGAUGACGUGACGGCGUACACAGAUGGGUUAAUUAAUCUUGUUCAUGAAACUGAUCUUAAUGAUGACGACUCUAUCACUGACAAUAGAAGCGACAUUUUUGUCCGCAAAUAGCGAUACAGCAAACAUAGUCUGUGGGUAGUGAUACAAUGUCUGUAAGCUCAGGCACCUCAGGUGCAGGUGUUGGAAAUGUAGAAAACGAUGGUCGGUCUCGCACUAUUUCUGAAGAAAUUCCGUAUAAAUGUUCUGGUUUAAGAAAUGUUUUAACAAACGCUACCGUACACGCAGAUUAAAAAAAAAAAAAAAAAAGAAAAAAAAAGAGAAUUGUAUGUGGCUAGAGAGAUGUUAAUCCGGACUAGCAAAAAAAAAAGAGAAAAAAAAAAGAAAGUGUGAAGUCAUUGAAGGGUCUGUCCGGUCCAAUGGCUUGGCUAUAGGGAUUUUCAUCCAGAUUAGCCACAACAAUUAGCUACAGGGAUUGCGAUUCGGUCUAGCAUUAUCCGGUCCAGUUCGAAAAACUGAAGGGAUAACAA